UAUAUUAUAUGUUCAUAUGUGUGUAUUUCUGUGCAAGUUAAAAGUGAAGUAAAAGGGUGCAUCCAAACAGCUAUGCGUCAUAUGAGGCCAUGAAAUCAAAAGUGGCAAAAAAGGAAGAGAAUAAAUCAUCAGAGCCUAAGCGAGCAAAUUUCUUCUGUUUCCAAAGCUCAAGCCAGGUAGCUGAACAACAAAAUUUGCGUUCGGUUAUUAUUUGAAGAAAGAAAUAUGAAUUGUUAUUUUAAUUUUAAAAAGUACCGAAUAAAAAAUUUAAAAAUU
Molecule: long non-coding RNA, 276 nt
Organism: Drosophila santomea
Lineage: Eukaryota; Metazoa; Arthropoda; Insecta; Diptera; Drosophilidae
Exons: 2
Source: RefSeq, a predicted model, not a curated record